Molecule: microRNA precursor, 57 nt
Filed under: Gallus gallus (chicken)
Lineage: Eukaryota; Metazoa; Chordata; Aves; Galliformes; Phasianidae
Description: Gga-Mir-26-P4_pre stem-loop
Source: RNAcentral
UUCAAGUAAUCCAGGAUAGGCUGUGCCCCCCCCGGCCUGUCCUCCGUUACUUGGGGU